This 345-nucleotide RNase P RNA is filed under the name Bacillota bacterium. RNAcentral's name for it is "RNase P RNA component class A". It matches the Rfam family "Bacterial RNase P class A". From Rfam's summary of the family: Ribonuclease P (RNase P) is a ubiquitous endoribonuclease, found in archaea, bacteria and eukarya as well as chloroplasts and mitochondria. Its best characterised activity is the generation of mature 5'-ends of tRNAs by cleaving the 5'-leader elements of precursor-tRNAs. Cellular RNase Ps are ribonucleoproteins. Lineage: Bacteria; Bacillati; Bacillota. The record is from RNAcentral. RNAcentral also lists the same sequence under 1 other name.
CAAGCCGGCUGGGUGUUCGCGAGCAGGGAACCCCCUGCUUGAGGAAAGUCCGAGCUGCGCAGAGCAGGGUGCUGGAUAACGUCCAGUGGGGGCAACCCCAAGGAAAGUGCCACAGAAAACAAACCGCCGGCCGGAAAGCCGGUAAGGGUGAAACAGUGCGGUAAGAGCGCACUAGGGACCAGGUGACUGGCUCCCUCGGUAAACCCCACCCGCAGCAAGACCAAAUAGGGGGAGGAUGAGGUUGCUCGCUGACUCCCCGGGUUGGUCGCUUGAGGUGUUGGGCAACCAACGCCCUAGAUAGAUGAACACCGUGAACAGAACUCGGCUUACGGGUCGACUUGCCGG